UCCCAGGCGGUAGCGGGGGCGCUGGUGCUGUUGCCCUUUUAAGCUGCGGCUUGACGGAGCCGCGCCUCCUGUCGGUGGAGUCGGUUAUAAAGGGAGCAGCCCCCCAGGCCGCCACACAGCUCCCGCCAAGUCCUCGGUGUCCCUUGCCAUUUUCCAGCAGCGCUCCCACGAGGGUCACCGCCGCGGGGAGAGGUGGAGCCGCGAGAGCUCGGCCGGGGGCCCCGCCGGGUGGUCGCGGCCAUGACAGCGGCUCGGGACAGGCUCCUUUUCCGCGCCCCUCCCGCCUGAGAUGAGGGAAAGAUGUCCCUGUCAGCGUUCAAGGCCAAACUGAAGUUGCCGGCCUCUAUCUUCCACGAGAACCAGGAGCCACAGCCGCGGCUCACGCUCCACCGCAACAUCAAGAUUACAAGUGGACACCUGAGUCAGCAGGACCUGGAAUCCCAGAUGAGAGAGAGCUUAUCUACAUGGACUCAGAUCUUGUUGUCACCCCCAUUAAUGACAAUCCAAGGGUACAGAAAGCACUCUAACAACUGAGUUGUAGACUUUACUGAGAUCUGAAAUCUGCAUGAGAUUUUCAUUCAGAAUAUUAUUUACUGUCUAAUCUUUCCUUUUCUCUUGUCUGCUUCUGUUUCAUUUGUGCUGCAUGUCUGCAUUUCCAGGUCCCGCUCUGUCUGCAACGCUUUCCUCUGCCUUCACUUCCACUUCACUGGAGUUCUAAGUUUUCUCCCCUCUGUUUUGAAUGAGUCAGCUCUGCCUCUCACUACUGCUUUCUUCCACAUGCCACGGAGGGGUUGCCAGCCUCUUGACCUCAGACCUUAGCUCUCAGUCCCAUCGUUUCUCCAUCUGCACUAAUGUGAAUCACUCUAAGUAUUCUAGUCUCUGACGUAUUUUGAAGGCAGAAGCAGUCAGAGGGCACUGCUCACCAGGCUGGGCUGGGCAGGCAGAUCACACGGAAGCCCUGCCCUCUCACAGGUUGUUAAGACUGCAUGGGAGAUGGUGAGGAGACACUAUGGGAGCUGGAGGAGUCACGGUUCACAAUGUACUUCUAAACCACUGUAAUGAAAAAACCACCAUCAGUUAAAUUUGAUCCAAAAAUAUUGCAUCUACCAGCAUUUUCAGUGGAUAAGUUAUAAUUUCUGAAAGACCAAGAUUGGAAUGACUUUUUUGCAACAAGUGUGCUCACAGAUCGACUCCAUUGCGAAGAGCUCGAGGACCUCCUGAGCCAAGCUUAAUCUCCUUUGCUGUUUGUGCGUGGUGGCUGGUCACCAGGAGGUGGCCACCAGGCUUCUCCAUUCCCCACUG
This is a long non-coding RNA of Pongo pygmaeus (Bornean orangutan), 1302 nucleotides long. RefSeq lists it as uncharacterized. Lineage: Eukaryota; Metazoa; Chordata; Mammalia; Primates; Hominidae. The record is from RefSeq and is a predicted model, not a curated record. The transcript is spliced from 4 exons.